This 501-nucleotide ribosomal RNA is filed under the name uncultured bacterium. RNAcentral describes it as "partial 16S ribosomal RNA". It matches the Rfam family "Bacterial small subunit ribosomal RNA", at positions 30 to 523 of the family's 1533-position model. The record is from RNAcentral.
AUUGAACGCUGGCGGCAUGCCUUACACAUGCAAGUCGAACGGCAGCACGGGUGCUUGCACCUGGUGGCGAGUGGCGAACGGGUGAGUAAUACAUCGGAACGUACCUUAUCGUGGGGGAUAACGCAGCGAAAGUUGCGCUAAUACCGCAUACGCCCUGAGGGGGAAAGCGGGGGACCGUAAGGCCUCGCGCGAUUAGAGCGGCCGAUGUCUGAUUAGCUUGUUGGCGAGGUAAAAGCUCACCAAGGCGAUGAUCAGUAGCUGGUCUGAGAGGACGAUCAGCCACACUGGGACUGAGACACGGCCCAGACUCCUACGGGAGGCAGCAGUGGGGAAUUUUGGACAAUGGGGGCAACCCUGAUCCAGCAAUGCCGCGUGAGUGAAGAAGACCUUCGGGUUGUAAAGCUCUUUUGUCAGGGAAGAAACAGCAGCUCUAACACAGUCUGCGAAUGACGGUACCUGAAGAAUAAGCACCGGCUAACUACGUGCCAGCCGCCGCGGUAA